Molecule: ribosomal RNA, 600 nt
Filed under: Escherichia coli
Lineage: Bacteria; Pseudomonadati; Pseudomonadota; Gammaproteobacteria; Enterobacterales; Enterobacteriaceae
Description: bacterial SSU rRNA
Rfam family: Bacterial small subunit ribosomal RNA
Source: RNAcentral
UCGGAGGCUAGACAUGCAGUCGAACGGUAACAGAAAGCAGCUUGCUGCUUUGCUGACGAGUGGCGGACGGGUGAGUAAUGUCUGGGAAACUGCCCGAUGGAGGGGGAUAACUACUGGAAACGGUAGCUAAUACCGCAUAACGUCGCAAGACCAAAGAGGGGGACCUUAGGGCCUCUUGCCAUCGGAUGUGCCCAGAUGGGAUUAGCUAGUAGGUGGGGUAACGGCUCACCUAGGCGACGAUCCCUAGCUGGUCUGAGAGGAUGACCAGCCACACUGGAACUGAGACACGGUCCAGACUCCUACGGGAGGCAGCAGUGGGGAAUAUUGCACAAUGGGCGCAAGCCUGAUGCAGCCAUGCCGCGUGUAUGAAGAAGGCCUUCGGGUUGUAAAGUACUUUCAGCGGGGAGGAAGGGAGUAAAGUUAAUACCUUUGCUCAUUGACGUUACCCGCAGAAGAAGCACCGGCUAACUCCGUGCCAGCAGCCGCGGUAAUACGGAGGGUGCAAGCGUUAAUCGGAAUUACUGGGCGUAAAGCGCACGCAGGCGGUUUGUUAAGUCAGAUGUGAAAUCCCCGGGCUCAACCUGGGAACUGCAUCUGAUA